UACGUAGGGGGCAAGCGUUAUCCGGAUUUACUGGGUGUAAAGGGAGCGUAGACGGUGAGACAAGUCUGAAGUGAAAGCCCGGGGCUCAACCCCGGGACUGCUUUGGAAACUGCCUGACUGGAGUGCUGGAGAGGCAAGCGGAAUUCCUAGUGUAGCGGUGAAAUGCGUAGAUAUUAGGAAGAACACCAGUGGCGAAGGCGGCUUGCUGGACAGUAACUGACGUUGAGGCUCGAAAGCGUGGGUAGCAAACAGG
Molecule: ribosomal RNA, 253 nt
Filed under: uncultured bacterium
Lineage: Bacteria
Description: partial 16S ribosomal RNA
Rfam family: Bacterial small subunit ribosomal RNA
Source: RNAcentral